Molecule: long non-coding RNA, 1032 nt
Filed under: Zea mays
Lineage: Eukaryota; Viridiplantae; Streptophyta; Magnoliopsida; Poales; Poaceae
Description: long non-coding RNA (ZMAY_LNC004420)
Source: RNAcentral
GCAAACCAAGCUGAUCAAUAUAAUUACGAAACUAUACUUUUUAUAAAAGUUUCAGUUCCACGCCUAUAUGGAGGAUUCGACUUUAGAAAAUAUUUGGGUUCAAUAGAAACUGAAAUAAUUAAAAAUGCUAUAAAAAAGAAUUAAAAACUAAUGUAUGUAUCCUGUGAGAAUAGUAUUCGAGACAAAAUACUAGCUAGCUAGCUAGUUAAAAUACCAUAAGCAGCUAUUGGACAGCUAUACAAGCUUAGGCAUGGUAGUGUGUUGCCCCCUGUUCCAUUCAUCAAUUUGUUGCCUGUUGACAUGGACAGCGACGCGCAGCUACGCUUCUUCUCGGACAGCGGGGUGGGCGGUCACAUCCUGCUACUACACAUGAAUAACUUUAGUGUCAAUAAUGAUAGCGCCGAGAUAAAGGUUUAUUUUAUGAAUUUAAACUAAAAAUAGCAUAGUUAUGAAUAACUUUCGCAAAAGGUCUAAAAAGUAAAAAAGACGGGGGUUGGAGGGGCCAUCAGAGAUAGGCUUCGUUGGUAUGCCUCAGUCUACAGUCGCCAUGGACCACAGCUUCUCUCGUCGCUCAGUGCACUAGGGAGAUCGGUUCCCAAGUAUUGUGGCGGCUAGGGUUUUCUUGAGGCUGGAGGCUUUGUGCUUCCAAGCUGCUAGAGAAAAUACCUUCAUUAGCUAGCAUGAGCCCCACGGCGGUGCCACCAUGGCCGUCGACAUCGAGUCUUCCUCGCCAGAGUCCAACAGAAUAGAGGGAGAGAGGGAGAAGAGAACAGAGUGGUGCGAUCGUGUGAAGUGAUUAGGGUAUCUAGGGGUGUCCGAAUUUUUUGGGCUUAAAUACCCAUCAAUACUACUCCGGGAAACGUUGAUCGUCAGAUGAAAUGGAAUGGCCAGAGCCAAUACGGAAACGUGUCGAGCGCGUGGUUGGGCUGGAAUGGUGGCCUCGGCCCAGGUUGCGUCCCAGACACGCCUCCGCCCCUCACCCAAUUCUGAUGGGCCACACAUUAAAGGGGCAAAAGGCCAACAAAGGCCAAA